UGGGGAAUAUUGCACAAUGGGGGAAACCCUGGUGCAGCGACGCCGCGUGAACGAAGAAGUAUUUCGGUAUGUAAAGUUCUAUCAGCAGGGAAGAUAAUGACGGUACCUGACUAAGAAGCACCGGCUAAAUACGUGCCAGCAGCCGCGGUAAUACGUAUGGUGCAAGCGUUAUCCGGAUUUACUGGGUGUAAAGGGAGCGCAGGCUGUUCUGCAAGUCAGCGGUGAAAGCCCGGGGCUCAACCCCGGAAAUGCCGUUGAUACUGCGGGGCUGGAAUACGGAUGCCGUGGGAGGAAUGAGUAGUGUAGCGGUGAAAUGCAUAGAUAUUACUCAGAACACCGAUUGCGAAGGCAUCUCACGAAUCCGUUAUUGACGCUGAGGCACGAGAGCGUGGGGAUCAAACAGGAUUAGAUACCCUGGUAGU
This 422-nucleotide ribosomal RNA is filed under the name uncultured Roseburia sp. RNAcentral describes it as "bacterial SSU rRNA". It matches the Rfam family "Bacterial small subunit ribosomal RNA", at positions 355 to 794 of the family's 1533-position model. The record is from RNAcentral. Lineage: Bacteria; Bacillati; Bacillota; Clostridia; Lachnospirales; Lachnospiraceae.